ACAUGAGUUGGCAGUGAAUUUAUAGCAUGAUGAAUGCAGUAUUUUUAUGCAAAUGAAACAUUAAAUGAAAUAUGGUUUGAUAUGCACUUUCUAAAUUUGUUUUGAAUAGAAAACAAAACAGAAUAUUUCACAAUAUCUACUUCCUACACAAUAGUGUAAAUUUCCUUAUGCAGGUAUAUAACUUGGAAUUACAGUAUUUGUUUAUAGAUGACAUGUAUUUAUAACCAGUGACGGAUCCAGCCAUUUUAAAAAGGGG
Molecule: long non-coding RNA, 256 nt
Filed under: Mytilus galloprovincialis (Mediterranean mussel)
Lineage: Eukaryota; Metazoa; Mollusca; Bivalvia; Mytilida; Mytilidae
Source: RNAcentral